This 576-nucleotide ribosomal RNA is filed under the name Clypeaster japonicus. Its description in RNAcentral is "partial 16S ribosomal RNA". It matches the Rfam family "Bacterial large subunit ribosomal RNA", at positions 1814 to 2599 of the family's 2925-position model. The record is from RNAcentral. Lineage: Eukaryota; Metazoa; Echinodermata; Echinoidea; Clypeasteroida; Clypeasteridae.
CAUCGCCCUUCGAUAAAAUUGACAUGAAGGGUCCUGCCUGCCCAGUGACUAAAAGUUAAACGGCCGCGGUAUCUUGACCGUGCGAAGGUAGCAUAAUCAUUUGUCUCCUAAAUAGAGACUGGUAUGAAUGGCAAGACGGAGCUACACUGUCUCCUUUUUCUAAAUCCAAAUUUCACAUCCCCGUGAAGAGGCGGGGAUAAUUUCGCCAGACGAGAAGACCCUGUCGAGCUGGAGCGAAAUCCUAAUGUUUUAAGCCUUUCUUCUUACUUCUAAUUUAACUGUUUUUAAAUAAGAACAAAGAAUAAACAAUUAGUCUUAGCUUUGGUUGGGGCAACCACGGAGAAAUCAAAUCCUCCGCUAACAAACUUACUUGAGACCUACAAGUCUAUUAUUACUUAACAGUAAAUGAAUGAUCCACUUAGGUGAUCAAAGGAAAAAGUUACCGCAGGGAUAACAGCGUUAUCUUUUUUGAGAGUUCAUAUUGACAAAAAGGUUUGCGACCUCGAUGUUGGAUCGGGACAUCCUAAGGGUGCAGAAGCUUUUAAGGGUUGGUCUGUUCGACCAUUAAAGUCCUAC